RNAcentral lists this ribosomal RNA (985 nucleotides) under Leschenaultia adusta. RNAcentral's name for it is "eukaryotic LSU rRNA". It matches the Rfam family "Eukaryotic large subunit ribosomal RNA", at positions 120 to 925 of the family's 3401-position model. The record is from RNAcentral. Lineage: Eukaryota; Metazoa; Arthropoda; Insecta; Diptera; Tachinidae.
CACUUUGUCUUUAUGGCAAAUGUGAGAUGCAGUGUAUGGAAUGUCAAAUAUCUGGUAUGAGAAAUUAAUGAUUUAAGUCCUUCUUAAAUGAGGCCAUUUACCCAUAGAGGGUGCCAGGCCCGUAUAACAUUAAUGAUUACUAGAUGGCAUUUCCAAAGAGUCGUGUUGCUUGAUAGUGCAGCACUAAGUGGGUGGUAAACUCCAUCUAAAACUAAAUAUAACCAUGAGACCGAUAGUAAACAAGUACCGUGAGGGAAAGUUGAAAAGAACUCUGAAUAGAGAGUUAAAUAGUACGUGAAACUGCUUAGAGGUUAAGCCCGAUGAACCUGAAUAUCCAAUAUAGAAAAUUCAUCAUUAUGACUCUAAUAUUUAUAAAUAUUAUAAUAAUAGUGUGCAUUUUUUCUAUAGAGGACAUUGUAAUCUAUUGGUAUGAAUGAAAUUUAUUAUAAGAUCGAUUGCGUAAGUUUAUUCAAAUUAUUUUGCUUGCAAUUUAACAUAGAAUAAAUGCUCUUGAUUUGAUAAAGUGUUGAUAGAUUUAUUAUAUAUAGUGCUUGAAUAUUUUAAUAUUCUAUAAUAGCAUAUUAAUUAUUAAUUAUUAUGUUUAUUUUAUGCACUUAUAUGAUUAACAAUGCGAAAGAUUCAGGAUACCUUCGGGACCCGUCUUGAAACACGGACCAAGGAGUCUAACAUAUUUGCAAGUUAUUGGGAAUAAAAACCUAAUAGCGAAAUUAACAUAACUUUAAUCUAUUGGGAUUAGUUUUUAGCCUAUUUAUAGUCUAUUAAUUCAAUCCCGGGGCGUUCUAUCGUUAUGUAUAAUGAUAUUUAUAUUAUUUAUACCUCUAACUAGAGCGUACCUUGAGCAUAUAUGCUGUGACCCGAAAGAUGGUGAACUAUACUUGAUCAGGUUGAAGUCAGGGGAAACCCUGAUGGAAGACCGAAACAGUUCUGACGUGCAAAUCGAUUGUCAGAAUUGCAGUAUAGGGCG